Molecule: long non-coding RNA, 7855 nt
Filed under: Triticum aestivum (bread wheat)
Lineage: Eukaryota; Viridiplantae; Streptophyta; Magnoliopsida; Poales; Poaceae
Description: long non-coding RNA (TAES_LNC021710)
Source: RNAcentral
CACAGUAAAUAGAUGAAACCCACUAGCAUGAGUAGGAGUUGUUUGAGCCCUGAUGUGCCUACUCAUUCAUGCUUGUUUGUCAUGCCUGCUAUUGCUUAGAGUUGUGUCAGGUCUGAUUCAUCGGGAAUGAAUCGGAGGUGUGUAAACAUGUCCUACUGUUGAGAGCUAAGUGUGUGAAUACGAUUUGGUAAAGGUAGCGGUGAGAGGCCGUGUAGGAGUACAUGGUGGGUUGUCUCAUUGCAGCCGUCCUCAGGAACUGAGUUCUGUGUUUGUGAUCCAUGAACAGUUACUACCACACAUUGGGUUCCGGUAACUCGACCCCUCUCGGCUUAUUAAUCAACUUGAUCUCUGUCCAGGAGUUGCAACUAGUUUCUGGUGUUUGUAGGUAGUGUUAGUAGUCUACCAAGUGGCACCCGGUACAGGUGGGCUUGGGACAUACUAGGCACAGUGGCACGGUGUACUAAGUGGCACCCGGAUGAUGGGCUUGGGAACCCUGCUCACAUCGUUUGGGGCCAUGAGCGACACCCCGGCCGGAUCUCCUUGCGGAUGGAACCCGAAUAGGCGAUAAACCUGGACGAGAGACUUGUGUGGUUAGUCAGGUCGUGGCCGACUCCCUCGCCCGACUUCCGCUUGAAGGUUGCUGAGGUACAUGACGUGUACAGGAGGAUAAGUGGCGAGAGCGUGUGUGAAGAAGUACACCCCUGCAGGGUUAUCAUUAUCUAUUCGAAUAGCCGGAUUCCUCGGAUAUGGAAACUUGGACCCCUUGCAUAGUUCAUAGACAAGUGAAAGUGGAUACUCUAAAAUACGCAAGAUAAGCGUGAGUGCUAUGGAUGGCGUUCUCGUAGGGAGACGGGAGCGGAUCCAUAGUGGAGUAUUGAUAUGGUGAAUAUGUGGACUCGUGUGCGCCACCUCAAAAGAGUUACUUGCAGUCGUAGUUUAGGAUAGCCACCGAGUCAAAGCUGGCUUGCUGCAGUUAAACCCCACCAUCCCUUUGUUGGUAAUGAUGCAUAUGUAGCUAGAUCUGAUGUAAGUCUUGCUGGGUACAUUUGUACUCACGUUUGCCUAUUUUAUGUUUUUGCAGAGAGACUUCAGUCUCGCUAGUAGUUCUGCUUGGACUUCGACGUUUAGCUUGUUACCUCAGCUACGAUCUUGUGCCCUCGGCAGGAUCUAGUAGAUAGUCAGGCUUCUCAGCCUUUUUCAUUUGUAGUUGUCUGUACUCAGACAUGUUAAGCUUCCGCAUGUGCUUUGACUUGUAUGCUCUAAAUGUUGGGUCAUGAGACCCAUGUUUGUAAUAUCUCUCUCCUCGGAGCCUAUUGAAUAAAUACUUGAGUCGUAGAGUCAUGUUGUGAUGCCAUGUUGUAUUUGCACAUAUCGAGCAUAUUGUGUGUAUGUUUUUGAAAUGCUUGGUAUGUGUGGGAUCUGACUAUCUAGUUGUUUAUCCUUAGUAGCCCCUCUUACCGGGAAAUGUCUCCUAGUGUUUCCACCGAGCCAUGGUAGCUUGCUACUGCUCCGAAACACUUAGGCUGGCUGGCAUGUGUCCUUCUUCGUUCCUGUGUCUGUCCCUUCGGGGAAAUGUCACGCGAUGAAUACCGGAGUCCUGUUAGCCCGCUACAGCCCGGUUCGCCGGAGUCCUGUUAGCCCAGUGCUACAGCCUGGAUUCACUCGCUGAUGACCGACACGUUCGAUGCUGGGUCAUGGAUGCCUGUCCCUGUAAGUUUGUGCCACUUUGGGUUUACGACUAGCCAUGUCAGCCCGGGCUCCUUAUCAUAUGGAUGCUAGCGACACUAUCAUAUAUGUGCGCCAGAAGGCGCAAACGGUCCCGGGCAAAGGUAAGGCAACACCCGUGGGGAUACCGUGCGUGAGGCCGCAAAGUGAUAUGAGGUGUUACAUGCUAGAUCGAUGUGGCAUUGAGUCGGGGUCUUGACAGCUUUGGUAUCAGAGCUUGACUGCCUGUAGGAUUACCAAGCCAAACUGGUCGAAGUUGAGUCUAGAAAUGCUUUAGUUAUAUGUAGGGGAAUUGAUUGUGGGAUGGAAAUGUAAGGCUCCUUUUACUCCUUAUCCCUUAUGCCCUUCUGAUCUGAGUCAUCCUCUUCUUUUCUACGGGGGUUAAGAACUAGGCUUCUCAUCUAUCUAUCAGGAUGACGUGUUACUAAUCCAUAGGCUUAUAGAAUUGAUAGUUUCAAAUCUCAGUUCAGCUUUUACUACUUCUGUAUGUUCACGGUUGGUCUCGAUACCUUGAUAUUGUGCUUCCGAGUGGCUAUGCCACCAUUUUUGUAGUGUGUCUCCAAACUUUUUGAGCAUUUAUAGUCGUUAUGCUGUCCGAGUCAUCCCAGGUUUCUAAACAAUCUGAUGCACUUGCAAAUCCUUUCCCUCUGGUUUUGAUGUUCCUUUGGGCCAGGUUAAUCACACUAAUUGCCGAGUUGAGGUAAUCUUUUACCUCGACAUAUAUGUUGGAGUUAUUAUUAUGACCCUAGGUGUUUUAGGGAGUCACCUAGUAAUUUAGCCAUGUUUAGUGUUCCCAGUGUGAAGAUUCUGGCCAUCAUUCUCGAAAGCAUCUCGUGAUGCUACUUAGGAGUAGGUAUUCUACUCCUGGGUUCUUGACCCAAGAUUCACUCCACUUACCUCAUGUUGAUAGUGUUGCUAGUUCCUUUAGGUUAUUAGUAACCUUUGUGAUAGUCCUCGAGAUUCGUGGUAUUUCCUUCUUCCAAAUACUAUGAACCGUUUAUGGCAGAAGUUCUUUGAACCAAAAGAUCACAACCAGAGCUCUUGAUGAGUUCUCGAUUCUAUGUUGUGACUCUGCCAGUUCUACCUUUCCGCAUGGAUUGUCCGGAAGAAAUAUGUCGAACUCGUUCGACAUUCUAAUCCAUGCAUCCACAACUCAGAAAAUCGUAUGUUCUUUUGAGUUGCCCCCCUUAGUCGUCUUCUGACCCUCAUCUAUCAAUUGAUAGUCAAGAGAAUGCGUGCAUUCGUCCAUCGAUGCCUAUUACUCUUGUGGUCCGUCAAGUCAUUCUAUUUCGGAAUGACUAGGAGAAACAAACUCAAGUACCUUGUCCAUUUCCAGGAUUGGGUCAAAGCAGUCGUACUCCGCAGAUCAAAUUGCUAAUCUAGCUUUUGAUUCUAUUCUACCCUGAAGUAUUACCAUCUUAUGUCAAGAAUGUCAUGGGAAUUGCACACCAUCUUAUGAAUUCUUGAUACCGUGAUAUUUCUCGCCAUCAUUAUUCAUUUCUCGGUCCCCGUGUUGUUGCAACCGGAAUGCCGACAGGUGAACUAUGAUGCGUGAAAUCAAUACUCCGAGCAACUCGUUGCUUGGUAGUAAAUGGACAAUAUUCUCAUUCUUAGCGUGUUGGUUAUUGAAUCAUCGUCCUAAGAUAGAUCGUGCUACCUAGUCCUUAUUUCCGGUGCACCUCUUGAUCAAUGAGUUAGGGCUAUGCCAAUCCCUUGGUUAUUUGAUCAUAUCGUCUUGCCCUGAAAAGCAAGAUUGUUCUCGAGCUUAGUAACAUAUCGGUGGUUCGUGAUUUUCUGAAUAUCUUCUCGGAAGUAUCACCAGGUCGUCACUUGACCGCUAUGUUGAGUUCGUGAGCAAGUUGGUUGCUUGUAACCACCCCUUCUCCAAGAAUCCGUGUUGGGUACCCCUGAGCUAGUUGGUUAAGCUGAACAACAACUUGGAGAGUUGGAAGAUAAAAGCUUGUCCGACUUAGUUCAUUUCCAAAGGGAUAUCCUUGUGCGUGUGUGUUGAAGAAAGAUGAUAUCUCCAUCGAUUGGUCCUCGUGAUCAGUUUGUUGGAUCUAUUACCUUGUUAAAUCUUUGAUUUGAGUAUGGGCUAUCAUCAAAUCAAAUCAGAACCAACGGUAUUCAUAAUGUUGUCUUACUCGCGGUUGUCCCUCAGGCAUACACCAUUAUAUCUUUUGGUCUGACCAAUGCUAUCACCGUGUUCACAUGAUGGCGGAAGUCCAGUGAUAUAGAAAUUUCGAUGAGUUGCUGUUGAGCCCAUCAGCAGCAUUUUGUCUCCCCCAUUACUCAUGUUGAACAUCAACCUAGUGUUGGAAACUUUUAUAAGCAUUAUCUUCAUGUUCCAUCCGUGAAGAAUAUGUUGGAUGAAAGAAGUGACUUUCUCUGAUUCACGUGCAUCUGGUGCAAGUUGCCGCCGUAAGUUCGAGAAAGAUUGUUUUGUUUCCUUUGGUACCAUCCCAAGUCAGUCAUGCAUGUGCUAGGUAUACUAUGGUUUGGUAGAUUAAUUACCUCCACUCCACCGGUAUUCCGUAGCACACCAAGCCACUAACUGAUUUGUUCAAGGACAAGAAGUUCCUUCAUAAGAGCUAAUCAUGACUUAUGUUAGGACUUCGUUAUCCUCGAUGAUGGUUCCCCACCUGAACUCGGUAGUGUUUUAUUUAUAAGACUACUACGUGGUCAUGCUUGCUUUGGACAGCGUGUUCACAGGUUUGUAGCAGAACCAGCUCAUGUUUUGGAGCUUGCUAUUGUAAUUCAUUUCUUGAGAAUCUCGCAACAUCGUCUUGUCGAUUUGUGUUGCAAAAUUUCUUUUCCAGACAUGAUGUCUGAAAUGUCCUGUUCCCGACCAGAUCUGAAUCUCAGGCAGAUAUGAUGGUUGGAACUAUUCUAAGAUAUAUGAUGUAGGUCCCGACAAGGUUGAUGUUGGCCGACACACCUAGCCGAAGAUCUAUUAUUGUAGCAUCUUAACUGAGCAAGUUGACCAUUCUCUCCAUAAGGAUGUCGUGCGACUUAUUUUAGAAGUUGUUCCUUAUGGAUUCUUUGUUCUCCCGAAGUCAGACCUUUACUUGAUGUUCCAGAUACCGACUGGUAUUGGGUUAAACUGGUACAUCAAGGAGAACAUUAGAAGCGGAGUGCUAAAUGUCUCUCGGUCGAUCAUCCAGAUUUUGUCCCCUUGGCCCCGCUAAGGUGAAAUCUGAGAAGGUUAUCUUCCUUUGCAUCUGCAUCGUCCAUCGCUGUUCAUCAUGGUAGUAUGUUGUGUUGCCAGGAUCAUUGACACGGAUGUUGGUAAAACCUUGAUGAAUAUGGAAAUGCUCAAGUUCUUGAGAGAACGCUCAGACACUAGGUUAUAUCUUCGGUAUCGGUCGGAUUGUGCCUUCCAUUUGCCGAUUGUUCUAUACCCAUAGUUCCAUUCCAAAAUCGAGUAUGCCAUUUCUUUGAAUUCCUUCAAACCAUCAUUUGAGAAUUGCCUUAGUCUAGUAUGGAGAGUUUCAAUGAUCUGUUCCGAUAGAGUUUCUUUCCGACAUCAUCGAGUUGGAUGAAGACUUCGCAAGCAAAGACGUCAAGAUCAAUUUGGGUCAACAAAUCAACAACUUCGAGAAGGGCAAAUCGAUCAUGAAGAUUGUGAUAGUUUUGUGACCCCCCUUUCCUCUUACCUCACGUCUUGAAUCUCGGGGCGAGAUUCUUGUUUAGUGGGGGUGAGUUGUCACAUCCCUAGUCCUGGUAUGCAGUAGGCUAGCCCUUCAUGUGUGCAUCAUGUUUAACUUUUGAAAUGAACUUGAAAUGGGGGAUGUUCAAACCCUAGCAUAAAAAGGAAUCCACCAGGUUCAACUAAAAUAUUUUUCAGUGAACCCAAAUGGCCUUCAAAAAUGUUCAUCAUUUUUGGAAAAUGCUGGAAACAGCAACCAGAGGUGAUGCACAUUUUUGCAUGACAUUUUGGAUUGUUGAAUUAACACAUAUUGUAUUUUGAAUUGGAGCUAAUAAAUACUAUAAAUACUUUAUUGCUUCAAUAAUUCUGAUUUUGUUGAGGGGCUUUGGAAUAGUCCUUUUAGUCCCUGCAAAAUUUAUCAGAAGCAACAAAAUUAGUUUGGUUCAAAAACCAAAUUAAAACAAAUGUCAGAAAUAGAAAACAGAAACAAAAUAGAGUAAGGAGAAACUCACCUGGCCUCACCCACCAAAGCCCACCUGGCCGGCCCAGUUGGCCCAGCCCACCACCCUACCCUGCCAGUCGUCUCCUAGCUUAUGCCAGGAGGACGACGCUGUGUCGACGCGCGUGCAACCGAGCUCCACGUCCUGCUUCCACCUCCUGCCUCCCUGCUGGCCUCCCCGACGCGUCUGGACGACGCCACGCGCCACCCCGGUCCCUCUCUCCCACUCCCUUGCCCUUUCCCCGCCUCUGCUCUCUCUCUGCAGCGCGCCCGAACACCCCGCUGCACGCCGACAAGCACCGCCGCAGCCACGACCAUCCCCUAGCCCAACCACCGUGACCAAUAGCCCCGCAAGGGCUCGAAGCAUCUCCUCGACGAGCCACGCAAUCCGGGUUUCACCGCAACACCGCCAACGAUGCCUUCUUCAACCUCAGGACCGCCGGGCAUCUCUGUCAAAUUCGUCGGCUCCGGACUGUCCCCGACCUCGCCGAGCGUCCCCUCGUCAUCGCUGUGAGCCCCCAGUCGCUUCCCCCGUAAUCCCGUCGUCAAUACCCUCCUCUUACCCCCGAUAGCCAACGCGGCUGAGAGCUCCCGCCGCCGGCCAUCUUCACCACCGUGGCUAGAGCAACCACACGUCACACCUGAGAACAUAGGCGUGCUCAGUGCCUUCCUAGGAGGCCGCAGACCACACCAGCUCGAUCUGAGACGCGCUGUAGCGCCUAACCCGUUGAUGCCCGAACUCCGGCCGCCGCCACGAGCUCGCUUCCGGCGAACUCCGGCCACCCCGCGCCCUCCCGUUGCUUUCUCUGGAUGCACGCGGGCACGGGCUACUUUCUGCUUCCCUCGGCGCGUAGAUCCAUCGCCUCUGGCACAACUCCGGCGAACCCCCACCGUCGGCUGUGGUCGUCGCCGGCUAAUCUCCGGCCAGCUGACGUGGCCUAAUUAGUUUAGGCACUAACAACUCCACCUAUCACUGACAUGUGGGCCCCGCCCGGCUAACCAAGUUAGUUAGGGUUAAUUUUAAUUAGGUUAGUUAGUCCAGACACUGACACACGGGACCCACUGGUCAGUUUGACCUGGCCAGCCCUGUUGACUCUGCUGAGGUCAGCAUGACGCCAUGCUGAUGCAAUAAAUAUUUUCUGGAUUUAUUUUUAUACAGGAAAUUCCAGAAAAUAGUAUAAACUUCUAAAAAUCAUAUAAAUUCAACCGUAGCUCAGAAUGAGAUAAAUUAUAUAUGAAAAAUGAUCAGAAAACUCCAAUCUAUCCAUCUGUACUGUUUUCAUGCAUGUUAGAACAACUUAUAGUUGCUGAACUGGGCAAAACAAAUAAUGGCAUUUGAAUAUCCACAUAUGGAGUUUGAAUUUGAACCUAGGGUUCAAACCAACUUCAUUUAACUUGUUGCUAGCAGCAUUAGCUCAAACUACAGCAUAUUGCCAUGUCACAUUGAUGCAUUGCAUUGAUUGUGUUUUCUCUGUGUUGCCGGUAUUUGUCCCCUCUCGAUAGGCUUGGUUUCGACAAUGAGUUCGAUGACACCGAUGAAGAAACUAUAUUAUCUUCAGAAUUGCCAGGCAAGCAAAACCCCCUUGUUCAUUCCGAUAUAAUCCUACUCUCUCGCUCCUGCUCUCUUUUACUGCAUUAGGACAACAACGAUUCAUCUGUUACUUGCUGCGGUAGCUGAACCCCUUUAUCCUCUGCAUGACCUGUCAUUGCCACAGUAAAUAGAUGAAACCCACUAGCAUGAGUAGGAGUUGUUUGAGCCCUGAUGUGCCUACUCAUUCAUGCUUGUUUGUCAUGCCUGCUAUUGCUUAGAGUUGUGUCAGGUCUGAUUCAUCGGGAAUGAAUCGGAGGUGUGUAAACAUGUCCUACUGUUGAGAGCUAAGUGUGUGAACACGAUUUGGUAAAGGUAGCGGUGAGAGGCCAUGUAGGAGUACAUGGUGGGUUGUCUCAUUGCAGCCGUCCUCAGGAACUAAGUUCUGUGUUUG